This 266-nucleotide ribosomal RNA is filed under the name uncultured bacterium. RNAcentral describes it as "partial 16S ribosomal RNA". It matches the Rfam family "Bacterial small subunit ribosomal RNA", at positions 89 to 353 of the family's 1533-position model. The record is from RNAcentral.
UGGCGACCGGCGCACGGGUGAGUAACACGUAUCCAACCUGCCGAUGACUCGGGGAUAGCCUUUCGAAAGAAAGAUUAAUACCCGAUGGCAUAGUUCUUCCGCAUGGUGGAACUAUUAAAGAAUUUCGGUCAUCGAUGGGGAUGCGUUCCAUUAGGUUGUUGGCGGGGUAACGGCCCACCAAGCCUUCGAUGGAUAGGGGUUCUGAGAGGAAGGUCCCCCCACAUUGGAACUGAGACACGGUCCAAACUCCUACGGGAGGCAGCAUG